RNAcentral lists this ribosomal RNA (253 nucleotides) under uncultured bacterium. RNAcentral's name for it is "partial 16S ribosomal RNA". It matches the Rfam family "Bacterial small subunit ribosomal RNA", at positions 524 to 776 of the family's 1533-position model. The record is from RNAcentral.
UACGAAGGGGGCUAGCGUUGCUCGGAAUUCCUGGGCGUAAAGGGAGCGUAGGCGGACAUUUAAGUCAGGGGUGAAAUCCCGGGGCCCAACCUCGGAAUUGCCUUUGAUACUGGGUGUCUUGAGUAUGAGAGAGGUGUGUGGAACUCCGAGUGUAGAGGUGAAAUUCGUAGAUAUUCGGAAGAACACCAGUGGCGAAGGCGACACACUGGCGCAUUACUGACGCUGAGGCUCGAAAGCGUGGGGAGCAAACAGG